This 73-nucleotide transfer RNA is filed under the name Nycticryphes semicollaris. RNAcentral describes it as "tRNA-Asn". The record is from RNAcentral. Lineage: Eukaryota; Metazoa; Chordata; Aves; Charadriiformes; Rostratulidae.
UAGGCAGAAGCCUGUUGGUUUGGGCAUCUAGCUGUUAAUUAGAGUUUUGCGGGAUCGAGGCCCGUCUGUCUAG